RNAcentral lists this ribosomal RNA (253 nucleotides) under uncultured bacterium. RNAcentral's name for it is "partial 16S ribosomal RNA". It matches the Rfam family "Bacterial small subunit ribosomal RNA", at positions 524 to 776 of the family's 1533-position model. The record is from RNAcentral.
UACGGGGGGGGCAAGCGUUGUUCGGAAUUACUGGGCGUAAAGGGCUCGUAGGCGGCCAACUAAGUCAGACGUGAAAUCCCUCGGCUUAACCGGGGAACUGCGUCUGAUACUGGAUGGCUGGAGUUUGGGAGAGGGAUGCGGAAUUCCAGGUGUAGCGGUGAAAUGCGUAGAUAUCUGGAGGAACACCGGUGGCGAAGGCGGCAUCCUGGACCGGCAUUGACGCUGAGGAGCGAAAGCUAGGGGAGCAAACGGG